GACAGGUAAGAUAGUACCAACCCACACCCCACCGCAGUCUAACAGCAAGCAGGACAGUGACACGCUCAGGCCAGGACAGCAGUGACCGCUCCAUCAGGACGACGGGACACAGACAGCCUCGCCAGAAACACACAGUGAUGGGACCAGACCACGGCACAAUCCUGGCCUCACUUCUCUUGACCACUCAGCUGGAAGGAAGAGCUGCCAACGCUCUACAGGACAGCCAGACACACAUGACAAUGAGACCAGAUCAUGGCACACUCCUGGCUGCUCUCCCCUUGAGAACUCAGCUGGAAGGAAGAACUGCCAAUGCUCUACAGGACAGAUAAGACAGCCCCAACCCAUUCCCCACCAUGGUCUCACACCAUACCAGAAGACGACACGGUUGGGUUAUGAUGGCCAUCUCCUGGCCGCCAGGGAGACCUCAGAGCAGAGCAAGCCACUGAAGGAGAAGAAAGCACACAAGGACCCCGUCUCUACCCUGCCAUGGUCCUACAAGCACACCAACGGGCCCCGCGCCUUUGGACAUUGAGAGCUCAGCACGCCUCCCCGCCAACUCACCCCACCCCACGUCUCUCUCAAACGUUGCUUAAAUAAAGGUUCUGAUUCACAACCUCA
This 618-nucleotide long non-coding RNA is filed under the name Anser brachyrhynchus (Pink-footed goose). RNAcentral describes it as "lncRNA (ENSABRG00000011067.1)". The record is from RNAcentral. Lineage: Eukaryota; Metazoa; Chordata; Aves; Anseriformes; Anatidae.